CGGCGAGUGAAGCGGCAACAGCUCAAAUUUGAAAUCUGGCCCUCGCGGUCCGAGUUGUAAUUUGCAGAGGAUGCUUCGGGCGCGGCGUCGACCAAGUCCCCUGGAACGGGGCGCCAUAGAGGGUGAGAGCCCCGUCGGGUCGGCCGCCAAGCCUGUGUGAAGCUCCUUCGACGAGUCGAGUAGUUUGGGAAUGCUGCUCUAAACGGGAGGUAGACCCCUUCUAAAGCUAAAUAUUGGCCAGAGACCGAUAGCGCACAAGUAGAGUGAUCGAAAGAUGAAAAGCACUUUGAAAAGAGGGUUAAACAGUACGUGAAAUUGUUGAAAGGGAAGCGCUUGUGACCAGACGUGCGCCGGGUGUUCAGCGGGCGUUCUCGCCCGUGUACUCACCCCGGCGCAGGCCAGCGUCGGUUCGGAUGGGGGGAUAAAGGCCCUGGGAAUGUGGCUCCUCCGGGAGUGUUAUAGCCCAGGGCGUCAUGCCCCCGCCCGGACCGAGGUUCGCGCUCUGCAAGGACGCUGGCGUAAUGGUCCCCAGCGGCCCGUCUUGAAACACGGACCAAGGAGUCGAGGUUUUGCG
This 574-nucleotide ribosomal RNA is filed under the name Dinemasporium sp. Its description in RNAcentral is "partial large subunit ribosomal RNA". It matches the Rfam family "Eukaryotic large subunit ribosomal RNA", at positions 87 to 686 of the family's 3401-position model. Lineage: Eukaryota; Fungi; Ascomycota; Sordariomycetes; Chaetosphaeriales; Chaetosphaeriaceae. The record is from RNAcentral.